GAUGAACGCUAGCGGCAGGCCUAACACAUGCAAGUCGAGGGGUAGCAGGAUUAAGCUUGCUUAAUUGCUGACGACCGGCGCACGGGUGCGUAACGCGUAUGCAACCUACCUUAUACUGGGGUAUAGCCCGGAGAAAUUCGGAUUAAUCCCCCAUAGUACUAAUGAAUCGCAUGGUUUAUUAGUUAAAGCAUUGCGGUAUAAGAUGGGCAUGCGUCCUAUUAGCUAGAUGGUGAGGUAACGGCUCACCAUGGCUACGAUAGGUAGGGGGCCUGAGGGGGUGGUCCCCCACACUGGUACUGAGACACCGACCAGACUCCUACGGGAGGCAGCAGUGAGGAAUAUUGGUCAAUGGGCGCAAACCUGAACCAGCCAUGCCGCGUGCAGGAAGAAUGCCCUAUGGGUUGUAAACUGCUUUUAUUUGGGAAUAAACCUCUUUACGUGUAGAGAGCUGAAGGUACCAAAUGAAUAAGCACCGGCUAACUCCGUGCCAGCCGCCGCGGUAA
Molecule: ribosomal RNA, 503 nt
Filed under: uncultured bacterium
Lineage: Bacteria
Description: partial 16S ribosomal RNA
Rfam family: Bacterial small subunit ribosomal RNA
Source: RNAcentral